Molecule: ribosomal RNA, 253 nt
Filed under: uncultured bacterium
Lineage: Bacteria
Description: partial 16S ribosomal RNA
Rfam family: Bacterial small subunit ribosomal RNA
Source: RNAcentral
UACGGAGGGGGCGAGCGUUAUUCGGAAUUAUUGGGCGUAAAGGGCGCGUAGGUGGCCCGGUAAGUCAAAGGUGAAAUCCCUCGGCUCAACUGAGGAAUUGCCUUUGAAACUGCCAGGCUCGAGGCCGGGAGGGGGUAGCGGAAUUCCCAGUGUAGCGGUGAAAUGCGUAGAUACUGGGAGGAACACCAGUGGCGAAGGCGGCUACCUGGACCGGUUCUGACACUGAGGCGCGAAAGCGUGGGGAGCAAACAGG